RNAcentral lists this ribosomal RNA (1811 nucleotides) under human gut metagenome. RNAcentral's name for it is "bacterial LSU rRNA". It matches the Rfam family "Bacterial large subunit ribosomal RNA", at positions 493 to 2312 of the family's 2925-position model. The record is from RNAcentral.
AACCAGUACCGUGAGGGAAAGGUGAAAAGCACUUCGAACAGAAGAGUGAAAUAGUUCCUGAAACCGUGCGCCUACAAGCGGUCGGAGCUCGUUAAUGAGUGACGGCGUGCCUUUUGCAUAAUGAACCUACGAGUUGCCUUUGCCGGCAAGGUUAAGUGUGACGACACACGUAUCCGAAGCGAAAGCGAGUCUGAACAGGGCGUAUAGUCGGCAGUGGCAGACGCGAAACCAAGUGAUCUACCCUUGGCCAGGUUGAAGGCUGGGUAACACCAGCUGGAGGACCGCACCAAUAAGCGUUGAAAAGCUUCUGGAUGAGCUGAGGGUAGGGGUGAAAGGCUAAUCAAACUUGGAGAUAGCUCGUACUCCCCGAAAUGCAUUUAGGUGCAGCCUUGCGGGUUACUGAUGUGAGGUAGAGCGACUGAUAAGAUGCGAGGGCUUCACCGCCUAUCAAGUCUUGACAAACUCCGAAUGCGCAUCAGUUCUACCGCAGGAGUGAGGGCAUGGGUGCUAAGGUCCGUGCCCGAGAGGAGAAGAAUCCGGACCACCUGCUAAGGUCCCGAAAUGACAGCUAAGUUAAACUAACGAAGUCUGACUGCUAAGACAGCUAGGAUGUUGGCUUGGAAGCAGCCAUUCAUUUAAAGAGUGCGUAACAGCUCACUAGUCGAGGAGUCGGGCGUGGAUAAUAAUCGGGUAUCAAGUUGUCUACCGAAGCAGUGGGAUCAUUGAUAUGAUCGGUAGGGGAGCAUUCCAGUCGGCGUCGAAGGCGUACCGUGAGGUAUUCUGGAGCGUCUGGAAAAGCAAAUGUAGGUAUAAGUAACGAUAAAGGGGGCGGGAAACCCCCUCGCCGAAAGACUAAGGUUUCCUGAUCAACGCUAAUCGGAUCAGGGUCAGUCGGGUCCUAAGGCUCAGCCGAACGGCGAUGCCGAUGGCAGAAACGGUUAAUAUUCCGUUACUACCUUCAGGAGUGACGUGGAGACGCAGUAGUGACAGUGCCGCCAUCUGACGGAAUAGAUGGUUGAAGGGUGUAGGAGUCGAUCAUGGCAGGCAAAUCCACCAUGAGAUCCGAACCUGACAGUAUGCCGCGUCCUUCGGGACAAGGCAAUAGUGCGCGUAAGCAUGCUGCCGAGAAAAUCCGCUAAACUUAAUCCUGCAGGUACCCGUACCGCAAACGGACACACGUAGUCGGGAUGAAUAUUCUAAGGCGCUUGAGUGAUUCACGGUUAAGGAACUAGGCAAACUGACCCUGUAACUUCGGGAUAAAGGGUCCCUACCCUUUUAUGGGAGGGCGCAGAGAAUCGGUCCAGGCAACUGUUUAACAAAAACACAGGGCUGUGCCAAAUCGAAAGAUCCAGUAUACAGCCUGACACCUGCCCGGUGCUGGAAGGUUAAGAGGAGAUGUCAUCGAUAAGAGAAGCGUUGAAUUGAAGCCCCAGUAAACGGCGGCCGUAACUAUAACGGUCCUAAGGUAGCGAAAUUCCUUGUCGGGUAAGUUCCGACCUGCACGAAUGGUGUAAUGAUCUGGACGCUGUCUCAACCGUGAGCUCAGUGAAAUUGUAGUAUCGGUGAAGAUGCCGAUUACCCGCGAUGGGACGAAAAGACCCCGUGAACCUUUACUAUAGCUUAUCAUUGAAUCUGGGCACGUGAUGUGUAGGAUAGGUCGGAGGCUUUGAAGCAGGUACGCCAGUAUUUGUGGAGCCGCUGUUGAAAUACGACCCUUUAUUUGUUUGGAUUCUAACCCGUGGAACGGGGACAUUGAUUGGUGGGUAGUUUGACUGGGGUGGUCGCCUCCAAAAGCGUAACGGAGGCUUCUA